This 460-nucleotide ribosomal RNA is filed under the name uncultured bacterium. Its description in RNAcentral is "partial 16S ribosomal RNA". It matches the Rfam family "Bacterial small subunit ribosomal RNA", at positions 338 to 795 of the family's 1533-position model. The record is from RNAcentral.
CCUACGGGAGGCAGCAGUGAGGAAUAUUGGUCAAUGGGCGGAAUCCUGAACCAGCCAUGCCGCGUGCAGGACGACGGCUCUACGAGUUGUAAACUGCUUUUGUACCGGGGUAAGAUGCUCUACGAGUAGGGUUUUGAAUGUACGGUACGAAUAAGGAUCGGCUCACUCCGUGCCAGCAGCCGCGGUAAGACGGAGGAUCCGAGCGUUAUCCGGAUUCAGUGGGUUUAAAGGGUGCGUAGGUGGUUUUAUAAGUUAGCGGUGAAAUACCGAUGCUCAACAUCGGGUCUGCCGCUAAUACUGGAGGACUAGAGAGCGGAUGCAGCAGGCGGAAUGUGGAGUGUAGCGGUGAAAUGCAUAGAUAUUAGACAGAACACCGAUGGCGAAGGCAGCUUGCUAGGCCGGAUCUGACACUGAUGCACGAAAGCGUGGGGAUCGAACAGGAUUAGAUACCCUUGUAGUC